GGGUUUACCCAUUGGUCAGGCUUAAUUGUCUGUACUGGUGAGAUAAAUCUCUACCUUCUGAGGAACUUUCAUGCCAUUUAUUUGGUGUGAUGGGAAAUCAGGACUGUUACUUUGAGAAAAUUAGGGUGUUCAAAGCAGGCAUACGCCCGAAUACAUUAGCAUGGAAUAAUAAAAUAGGACGUGCGGUUCUAUUUUGUUGGUUUCUAGAGUCGCCGUA
Molecule: ribosomal RNA, 217 nt
Filed under: Campeiostachys nutans
Lineage: Eukaryota; Viridiplantae; Streptophyta; Magnoliopsida; Poales; Poaceae
Description: Elymus nutans partial small subunit ribosomal RNA
Rfam family: Eukaryotic small subunit ribosomal RNA (bases 44-217)
Source: RNAcentral